RNAcentral lists this ribosomal RNA (513 nucleotides) under uncultured bacterium. Its description in RNAcentral is "bacterial SSU rRNA". It matches the Rfam family "Bacterial small subunit ribosomal RNA", at positions 17 to 518 of the family's 1533-position model. The record is from RNAcentral.
UCCUGGCUCAGGAUGAACGCUAGCUACAGGCUUAACACAUGCAAGUCGAGGGGCAGCAUUGGGAUAGCUUGCUAUCCAGAUGGCGACCGGCGCACGGGUGAGUAACGCGUAUCCAACCUUCCCUAUAGUAGAGAAUAGCCCGGCGAAAGUCGGAUUAAUGCUCUAUGUUGUGUUUUGAGGACAUCUGACGAACACCAAAGGUUCACCGCUAUAGGAUGGGGAUGCGUCUGAUUAGCUUGUUGGCGGGGUAACGGCCCACCAAGGCGACGAUCAGUAGGGGUUCUGAGAGGAAGGUCCCCCACAUUGGUACUGAGACACGGACCAAACUCCUACGGGAGGCAGCAGUGAGGAAUAUUGGUCAAUGGGCGAGAGCCUGAACCAGCCAAGUAGCGUGCAGGAACCGACUGCCCUAUGGGUUGUAAACUGCUUUUAUCAGGGAAUAAAGUGCGGCACGUGUGCCGUUUUGUAUGUACCUGAUGAAUAAGGACCGGCUAAUUCCGUGCCAGCAGCGGC